Molecule: long non-coding RNA, 460 nt
Organism: Dalotia coriaria
Lineage: Eukaryota; Metazoa; Arthropoda; Insecta; Coleoptera; Staphylinidae
Exons: 2
Source: RefSeq, a predicted model, not a curated record
AAUAAGUACGGUCUUGUUAGAAUAUUUAACGAGUUUUCAAUAGGAAUUUUUAAAAUGGCAAUCAGCAAAAAUGUCUAAGUAGAAUUUUUAAAUAAUCCUGAUGACAUUUUAGUAUAAAUUGAGUGGUUAUAAAAGUUAGUUUGAGUGCCAUCGCCGAAACAGUAAAUAAUAAAGAUGACGAUUUCCAAAGGAACGAUUGUCUGCUUUUUAAUUGUAUGUGCAAUUGGUAUUAAUGCUUAUGCAAUCGAAAAAAUGCUAUAACAAACUCUCAUCACGAACGCCGCGAGAUUUCGUUACCUGAAAGGAUAUUUUGGCGUAUUAUCGAUGUCUUCCACAUUUUUAACUUUUUAAUUCCGCAACCUAUUCGCAACUUAGUUCAAGCAUUUCACGAAUUUAUUGGUUUUACCAAACCUGAUGAAUUGAGACCUUAAAAUAAAAUAAAUGGUGGUUCAAACAUUUA